UCAAGAAACUUCCACAAUGGGCGAAAGCCUGAUGGAGCGACGUCGCGUGAUGGACGAAGUGCUUCGGCACGUAAACAUCUUUUAUGUGGGAUGAAAUUAUUGACAGUACCACAUGAAUAAGGGGCUCCUAACUCUGUGCCAGCAGGAGCGGUAAUACAGAGGCCCCAAGCGUUAUCCGGAAUCACUGGGCGUAAAGGGUGUCGAGGCGGUUGUAUUAGUCGUUCGUAAAAUCUACGAGCUUAACUUGUAGGCGGCGAACGAAACGGUACGACUUGAGGUUUGGAGAGGUGCGUGGAACUCACGGUGUCGGGGUGAAAUCCGUUGAUAUCGUGGGGAACACCAAAGGCGAAGGCAGCGCACUGGCCAAAAUCUGACGCUCACACACGAAAGCUAGGGUAGCGAAGAGGAUUAGAUACCCUUGUAGUCCCUGAGCGGGCUGGCAAGGCGCAU
RNAcentral lists this ribosomal RNA (450 nucleotides) under uncultured bacterium. RNAcentral's name for it is "bacterial SSU rRNA". It matches the Rfam family "Bacterial small subunit ribosomal RNA", at positions 355 to 825 of the family's 1533-position model. The record is from RNAcentral.